RNAcentral lists this ribosomal RNA (593 nucleotides) under Klebsiella variicola. RNAcentral's name for it is "partial 23S ribosomal RNA". It matches the Rfam family "Bacterial large subunit ribosomal RNA", at positions 2261 to 2848 of the family's 2925-position model. The record is from RNAcentral. Lineage: Bacteria; Pseudomonadati; Pseudomonadota; Gammaproteobacteria; Enterobacterales; Enterobacteriaceae.
GUGGGUAGUUUGACUGGGGCGGUCUCCUCCCAAAGAGUAACGGAGGAGCACGAAGGUUAGCUAAUCCUGGUCGGACAUCAGGAGGUUAGUGCAAUGGCAUAAGCUAGCUUGACUGCGAGCGUGACGGCGCGAGCAGGUGCGAAAGCAGGUCAUAGUGAUCCGGUGGUUCUGAAUGGAAGGGCCAUCGCUCAACGGAUAAAAGGUACUCCGGGGAUAACAGGCUGAUACCGCCCAAGAGUUCAUAUCGACGGCGGUGUUUGGCACCUCGAUGUCGGCUCAUCACAUCCUGGGGCUGAAGUAGGUCCCAAGGGUAUGGCUGUUCGCCAUUUAAAGUGGUACGCGAGCUGGGUUUAGAACGUCGUGAGACAGUUCGGUCCCUAUCUGCCGUGGGCGCUGGAGAAUUGAGGGGGGCUGCUCCUAGUACGAGAGGACCGGAGUGGACGCAUCACUGGUGUUCGGGUUGUCAUGCCAAUGGCACUGCCCGGUAGCUAAAUGCGGAAGAGAUAAGUGCUGAAAGCAUCUAAGCACGAAACUUGCCCCGAGAUGAGUUCUCCCUGAGACUUUAAGUCUCCUGAAGGAACGUUGAAGACGAC